UUUUUUUUUGACUGUUUUGGAAAUGCAUAAAAUGAAGUGUUUUUUUUUUGAGUGAGAGCAUGAAUGAAUUCUGGUUUGAUGGAUGCACUAGUAGUUUCCAAUGACAGAAAAUGAUCUCCAAAUUCUGUUGGAUAGUACAAGGCAUGGUAUGGAAGUAUGGAGUGGAAAUGUCCUUUUGUUCCAAAAUUUAAGCAAGUUGGCAUGGCCUCUUGUUUUGGCUGGUUUUUUUGGCUGCAAAAUCUAUUCAUAAUGACAGAGAAUGGCCUCUAAAUUUUCUGUUUUGAUGAGUACAAGGCAUGGCUAAAG
This 306-nucleotide long non-coding RNA is filed under the name Lathyrus oleraceus (garden pea). RNAcentral's name for it is "Pisum sativum (pea) long non-coding RNA (PSAT_LNC002629)". The record is from RNAcentral. Lineage: Eukaryota; Viridiplantae; Streptophyta; Magnoliopsida; Fabales; Fabaceae.